RNAcentral lists this ribosomal RNA (494 nucleotides) under uncultured bacterium. RNAcentral describes it as "partial 16S ribosomal RNA". It matches the Rfam family "Bacterial small subunit ribosomal RNA", at positions 28 to 507 of the family's 1533-position model. The record is from RNAcentral.
GACGAACGCUGGCGGCGCGCUUAACACAUGCAAGUCGAACGGAAAGGCCUGCUUUUCCUUGUGGAUUGCGGGUACUCGAGUGGCGAACGGGUGAGUAACACGUGAGUGAUCUGCCCCCAACUUGGGUAUAAGCCUGGGAAACUGGGGCUAAUUCCCGAUAGGACCGCAGGGUGGUGUCUGUGGUGGAGAACGAUUUUCUAGUGGUUGGGGAUGAGCUGUCGGCGUGUCAGGUUGUUGUUGGGGUAAUGGCCUACCAAGGCGGCGACGGGUAGACGGCCUGGGAUAGUGGACGGCCACAUUGGGACUGGGAUACGGCCCAGACUCCUACGGGAGGCAGCAGUGGGGAAUAAUGCGCAAUGGGCGGAAGCCUGAUGCAGCGACGCCGCGUGGGGGAUGACGGCCUUCGGGUUGUAAACUCCUUGCGACCGCGAGGAAGCCACCUGGUUGGAAGGGUGGUGACGGUAGUGGUAGAAGAAGCACCGGCUAACUACGUG